UGCACGUCUCUAAGAACUUGCCCUGAGCUGCAAGAUGGGAUUUGUUCCUCUCUGCCCCCCCUCUGUGGGGCUGGUUCCCCCGUUCCUGUUAUUUACACCCGGCGCUAUCAGUUCCUGACUAUCUGCAGCAGAGAGGUUUGUGUAAACUGCUGCCGCUGCGGUUCCAGCCUGUCUCACGGUCACCAGUUCCUGCGCGGCUCUUCCCGUCGGACGGGGACCACCGCCUUGGAUGUGACAGAGACCGUGUCCCUGGCUUUUCCUACCUCUCUGACAUCUAUGGAGACCUCAUCAGUGGUGUCCACCACUGACUCCAGCACCACAGGCACCAUCCCUCCCUCCAGCCCUGAAACAGGAGCCUCCACGCUGGAGACAUCCCUGGGGACUGACAGAUCUUCACCUCCCAUCGCAUCUUCCCCGACUGCACCAGCAUCGCCAGACACUUCGGCAGAGUCCUCGAUGACCACAGGGGACACCACAGGCACCUCUGAUACCAGCACAGGGUACAGCACUCCCAGCCAGCCUGUCGAGACCACGUUUGGGAUCACCUCUGGUACCUCCACUGUGACUAUGGAGACAACCCCAGGCACCUCGACAGUACCUGAGACCUCCAGUGCAGCCACGGGCACGGAGCCCUCUUCCCCCACCACCAACUCAACCCAGACUACAGACGAUACCCUCAGCACCCCCACAGACCUGACAACGACAGCGUUCUGCCCCACCACUGCAUCCAGCACCGGUCCGUCUUACCUCUUUCUGUCGCUGCAGCUAACCGUGCCCAAGGACCUGGGGAACACCACAAUGCAGGAGCUGCUGUUGUCCAAGCUCCGUGAGGAACUGCAGACGACGUUCCCAUGUGCUGGCCUGGGGGUGGAGUGGCGAGGGGAGAGGAGGACCUGACCACUGCUCCUUGCCCGGCCAGGACCUUCAGGGCUGGCACCCCUGUCAACUGGCAAGCCUUCUGCUCCCAGCUCCUUACUUCAUGGUAGUGCAGCCUUUUGGGGUGACCUGUACAGCUCCUCCUAAGCCUGGGACCCCCUGUCCUUCACUGCACACCCCCAGAGGACCCCCAGUGGGCUGGAGUGCCCCUUUCCCUUCCUGUAGCCUGUCUGUAGAGCCCGAGACCUCCCACCGCCCUGCACCAGACCUGCCUCCCACGGUGGGACCCCCCCAGAGCUGCUGGGAGGAGGGGACCCGGCAGGGCUAGGCCUCAGCCAUGAAAACCACCCUGGGGACCGACGGAUGAGAGAAAGGAGACCUGGAGCCACUGGUACUGCUGUGCUCUGUGAUGAUGACCUCAGAAGAUCUGCAAUCUGGGGAGGCUGCGGUGCCCAAGAUCUCUCAGAGAUGGUCCAGGGCUGUUUCACAGCCAGAGUGGGCCAGGAUGGAGCCCGGGGAUGCCUCUGGGAAGGAGGCAGGAGAGAAAAACCCCUCUCUACCCCUGGAGUCUCAUCCUGGGACCGGCCACGCUCCUGAGCCCUGUGGCGCAGAGGGCGAGUGAAGCCAGAGCCCGGCAAACCAGCUCUCCCCUCCUUCCUGGGGAGUCAUUGACAGAGAAGCACAACCAUGCCAACACGGAUGGGGAACAGAGGGAAAUUCCACCUUUUUCGUGCCAAAGAUGAUGACUGAUUUUUUUUUUUACAAGUUGACUUCCCUGAUUUUCAGCGUCGCCAUCUAGCAGAGGGACUGGCAAGGAAAAUUGGCUGAGUCCCCAAAAGCUUCGCAGCAGAGAGACGGUCUCAGGGCUGUCCCCUCCUGGCAGCGGCCACCACAGACAUUCCUGAGGACGGUUCAGCACCCCGACAGGCUGGGGGUCCCUGCUUUGGUGCUCUCCACCCCAUGGCGCCUCACAGCUGCCCAGGCAGCUGAGCUCACCAUGGGGCCGUGGAAAUCCCGUGGG
This 1897-nucleotide long non-coding RNA is filed under the name Calidris pugnax (ruff). Its description in RNAcentral is "lncRNA (ENSCPUG00000017108.1)". Lineage: Eukaryota; Metazoa; Chordata; Aves; Charadriiformes; Scolopacidae. The record is from RNAcentral.